This 201-nucleotide ribosomal RNA is filed under the name Triticum aestivum (bread wheat). RNAcentral's name for it is "partial small subunit ribosomal RNA". Lineage: Eukaryota; Viridiplantae; Streptophyta; Magnoliopsida; Poales; Poaceae. The record is from RNAcentral.
AUGACCCAAGUACCGCGAGAAUGUUUGUGCCUCUACCGUCGCCGUGGAUCCGACAAGUACCCCUACAACAAGUGUACCUCUACCGUCGUCUUUGGAAUCGCUAAGAACGUCAAGCAUCCCUUCGAGAUGACGAGACCGACAAGUUCAAAUGACCCCAAGUACCUCUCCAAAAAACGAGACGUAUACCACUACCGUCGCUAG